RNAcentral lists this ribosomal RNA (448 nucleotides) under uncultured bacterium. RNAcentral describes it as "bacterial SSU rRNA". It matches the Rfam family "Bacterial small subunit ribosomal RNA", at positions 328 to 793 of the family's 1533-position model. The record is from RNAcentral.
CUCUGUGACUCCUACGGGAGGCAGCAGUGGGGAAUAUUGCACAAUGGCGCAAGCCUGAUGCAGCAACGCCGCGUGAGUGAUGAAGGCCUUCGGGUCGUAAAGCUCUGUCCUCAAGGAAGAAUAAAUGACGGUACUUGAGGAGGAAGCCCCCGGCUAACUACGUGCCAGCAGCCGCGGUAAUACGUAGGGGCAAGCGUUAUCCGGAAUCACUGGGCGUAAAGGGGUGCGUAGGCGGUUUUCAAGUCAGAAGUGAAAGGCUAUGGCUCAACCAUAGUAAGCUUUUGAAACUGUUAAACUUGAGUGCAGGAGAGGAAAGUGGAAUUCCUAGUGUAGAGGUGAAAUUCGUAGAUAUUAGGAGGAACACCAGUGGCGAAGGCGACUUUCUGGACUGUAACUGACGCUGAGGCACGAAAGCGUGGGGAGCGAACAGGAUUAGAUACCCUGGUAG